UCGCUAAAAGUAGUUGAUUUUUAGUAGUACCUGCCCAGUGCGUAUUAUCUUGUUAACGGCCGCCUUAGCGUGAGGGUGCUAAGGUAGCGAAAUUCCUUGCCUUUUAAUUGUAGGCCAGCAUGAAUGGUUUGACGAGGGCCUCACUGUCUCUUAGUUCUAUGUUGAAAUUGUAGUGUAGGUGAAGAUACCUUCAUAAAAAAGUAAGACAAAAAGACCCCGUGCAACUUUGAAAAUUAAGCUAGAUUAAAUGGCAAAAGAUUUUUAGGUGGGGCGCCAAAAGAGGAAACUAUAACCUCUGCUGUUUAAGCUAAUUCUUACUGGAGUUGACCUGACUUAAGUCGAUCAAAGGAGAAGUUACGCCGGGGAUAACAGGCCAAUUCUUUAGUAAAGCUCGUAUUAACUAAAGGGCUUGGCACCUCGAUGUUGAAUCAGGGAUUAUAGCUUCAAGGCGUAGAUGCUUUGAUUAGUAGGUCUGUUCGACCUUUGAAACCCU
This 493-nucleotide ribosomal RNA is filed under the name Crassostrea brasiliana. RNAcentral's name for it is "partial 16S ribosomal RNA". It matches the Rfam family "Bacterial large subunit ribosomal RNA", at positions 1827 to 2597 of the family's 2925-position model. Lineage: Eukaryota; Metazoa; Mollusca; Bivalvia; Ostreida; Ostreidae. The record is from RNAcentral.